GUUGAACGCUGGCGGCAGGCUUAACACAUGCAAGUCGAGCGGAGAUGAGGUGCUUGCACCUUAUCUUAGCGGCGGACGGGUGAGUAAUGCUUAGGAAUCUGCCUAUUAGUGGGGGACAACAUUCCGAAAGGAAUGCUAAUACCGCAUACGUCCUACGGGAGAAAGCAGGGGAUCUUCGGACCUUGCGCUAAUCGAUGAGCCUAAGUCGGAUUAGCUAGUUGGUGGGGUAAAGGCGUACCAAGGCGACGAUCUGUAGCGGGUCUGAGAGGAUGAUCAGCCACACUGGGACAGGGACACGGCCCAGACUCCUACGGGAGGUAGCAGUGGGGAAUAUUGGACGAUGGGGGGAACCCUGAUCCAGCCACGCCGGGUGUGUGAAGAAGGCGUUAUGGUUGUAAAGCACUUUAAGCGAGGAGGAGGCUACUGAGACUAAUACUCUUGGAUAGUGGACGUUACUCGCAGAAUAAGCACCGGCUAACUCUGUGCCAGCCGCCGCGGUAA
This 501-nucleotide ribosomal RNA is filed under the name uncultured bacterium. RNAcentral's name for it is "partial 16S ribosomal RNA". It matches the Rfam family "Bacterial small subunit ribosomal RNA", at positions 28 to 523 of the family's 1533-position model. The record is from RNAcentral.